UUGGGAUUAAAGGGCCUGGAACUUUUAGUUCCACCCUCUGACCUAUCUACAAGGGACAGUGAGGGACUGGAGGUUGGAUCAACUGCCAAUGGCCAAAGUCUCCCUAAACACCCGAAAGGACAGGGUUCAGAGAGCUUCCAGGUCUUGCAAACAUCUAAAUUGGAACCAUACUAUCUUCAUGACCCAGAUGCAAUCAAGGCACAAGGCACUAAAAACUAAGAGAGCUCCUCAUGGCCGAGCACCACACAAGUACAGGAGAGCACUGCAGCUGUGAGCUUGACCACUAACUCUAUCUGCCCACCUGUAAAAUGAAGAGAAGAAAAACUAUCUCAAAAGUGUAGGAGAAGCAAAUGAAAGAAAGGAUGCCUACAGGCCAGAGGGCUCCUGCCACCACCCACACCAUCCAGGAGAAACUGUUUCCUUUGGGACAGGUGAGCUCCUUCAUCUUUCUGACAGGAUGCAAGACAGAGCAGGGGUGAUACCGCUGCACCCUGAAGGGCCAAUGAGGAUCUCAUUUCCUCCUUCAACCUGACCUCUCCCUAUCCUUAUGAGAUGGGCCCCAACCUUCCUGCCUGCCUCUGCUUUACCAGCUCCAGAGCAACUUGACAUUCCUAGAGGAAGUCACACAGCUGAGCAACAAGAUCUCCCUGCAGGUUCAUGGUGUCAGAUCUCAACACUCUCCACCGACCAGCAUUUCUACGGCUUUUCUCCAACUUCUCAUUUCACACAGUCUCCUCCUUUCUUUUCAAACAUCUCUCUCUACUCAACACUUCCACCUGAGCUUACAUGUUGCCAAGUAAAGAAAUGAAUGAUU
This is a long non-coding RNA of Canis lupus familiaris (dog), 814 nucleotides long. RefSeq lists it as uncharacterized. NCBI's taxonomy places the organism in Eukaryota, Metazoa, Chordata, Mammalia, Carnivora, Canidae. The transcript is spliced from 2 exons. The record is from RefSeq and is a predicted model, not a curated record.